This 531-nucleotide long non-coding RNA is filed under the name Mus spicilegus (steppe mouse). RNAcentral describes it as "lncRNA (ENSMSIG00000016466.1)". Lineage: Eukaryota; Metazoa; Chordata; Mammalia; Rodentia; Muridae. The record is from RNAcentral.
GUCAUGAUCCAGUUAGCCACUCUGUGGCCUGACAUAAAGGCACAAAUCACAGAAGACACAGACACAGCUUGGUACAGCAUGGUGACCAGGGACUGAGGCAGAAAGGGAGGUGACAUAAAAUUCAGGAGUCAUCCAAGUAUACCUUUCAAUGGUUCCCCACCAACACUGGCCGCCUUGGAGUUGUCCUGGCAAGUGGGAAAUGUAUGGAUCUUAGUUUCUGGCAUGGACCUUAAGGACUGGUCACACAAGAGACAGAGUGCAAGAUUCCUGAGAGAACAUUUAAGCAUUGAUGACCAGAGAAGGUGGAUAGAGAUGGAGGACAUGCAUACAGGUAGAAAGAGCUGUUCUGGAUAUGGGGAGAACAACUUCACACUAGAGUUUCCCUCCACACAUCCAACGUUCAAGAAACUGCCUUUGCUGGAGAGUGUGGGAAACAGAGUCUGAUCCACCUACUGCAGGGGAAAACCAGGGUAUGACAGUCAUGAGGAGGGUUUUCAGAGGUGACAUUUGGGCAAAGUCAAGUAGGACAAU